UCACACGGCGCGGAGGGCUCUCCUGGUGUCACUCAAGGCAGCCCUGUCUGCACCAUGUCCGUGGCAGCUCCAGGGUCCGCCGGGUCAGAGCGCCGAUCCUCAACACCACAGAGAUUCCAGGAGAUUUCCUCUGCCUUCUCUGCCUCUAUCUUUCAGCGAGACAGACUUAACAAAAGAGACUCAGCAGCUAAUGGAAGAAGUUCAGGAGGGUCAGAUGGCACUGGCGUCCACCCAGGCCACAAAAGAGACCAGCAGGGAGACUGGAAUGCCAUCAGACAGAGCUUCAGCGAGAUGGCAGCAGGCAGGGUAAGUCUACGCCCUCAGGCAAAAGUCACCAGUCAGCAGUACACAGCACUUGCACAUGCAUAUCAGUUUGACUUUCAAUUUCCUGAAGAUGUCAGAUUGCUCUGUUAUAAUUUCUGACGGAAAGCAGCAGGAAGCCUUGGCCCCUAGCAUCCAUCGCGGAGAAGUGGCCCAGCUCCACUGGGAGAAGUGGUGGAAUUGCGGUAUCGGCAAAGCCUGCCUGAGUUUCCCCUCUUCAUCCGUUCAUAGGUGUUCAGAGCAUGUUUUACUCUUUAUCCAUGCCUUUUCUCCCAUUCAAAUAACACACAAAAUAUGGCACAUAAAGUAUAGUUCAGUUGCUUUGAGUGAGACACAAGGCACUCAAACCCCAGCCAAGAGUCAUCUUUUUUGUUUUCCAUUUGAAUUCCACAUUUCGGCGUCUGCGAGAGCACAGCGCUGAGCCGCAGUGACACUACAGGGCUGGGCGGUCUCUGCAGAGUUUGCGCACAUGUAGAAUUUAUUGCCUGUGGGAAGGCACUUCCUAAUAAUGUUCUGCUACCAACGUUCACUCACGCACUCAGUCAUUCGAUUUCCACAGCCAUCAGCCGGUGUCACUCUUCCGCUUAUUGCAACCAGAUGCAGCUAUUUGAGAGGAAUGGAGGAGAAUUGCUUGCGGGAAAGAAGAAAAAAAAAACUAAACUAAAAGUAGUUUAUGUACAUGGAAGGAUAGAUAGAGGGCUAUGUGGAUGGUAUGAGGGUUAAUUAUCAGCCAUAGCACAAACACAGUGGUCUCAUGAACAGAGUGGGGGUGGGGAAGAGAUGAUGGCAGAUCGUCUCCUGCUCGCUCCCCUCCUGAGCAAUAUGACCCAGAGAUUGAGGGGAAGGAGAAGUAACUUGAGCAGGGAGUGUUAUUUCCAUCAGCUGUAAAUCGUGUAGACCUCUAUUGAAUCUGAAGGGGUUGCCAUUACAUGUCAUGACGGUCCUGAUGUCUUGGUAGGGGAGCAGAGUGUCCAUCGCCUUCAGCUCCCCGGCAAGUGGCGUGGCGACAGCUAUCUCCGGGGGUAAUGGUUUGCGACAGGAUUGCACUCCCUCCAGAUCCUUUACCCGCCCACGACCCCAGGGCCAGCCAGUGGUCGAGGGCCGUACACAGGGCUCCCAGGGCAAACCAGAGCGGCCGCGCGACGACAUCCGAGCCCAGAUAGCAAAGAUUGAGCAGUUUUUGAGCUCAGAAGGGGUAAGCCUUCCCAAGAAGUCCAAAAUGGAGACAAGAGAAGAUGUUGAGCUAUGAGAGAGAAAAACUUAAACAGCUCUGUUGCUUUCAAAUACAUAUGUUCUAGAACAGUCAAAGAUAGGAACAUGGCUAGUUUUGUUUUGAAAAGUCAGUAACUUUUAGAAAAGAGAGAGACAAAUUGACUAUUUAGGAUGAUAUUGUUAUGAUAUUGUUUAAUGUUAUUUAUUUAUGAUUUCAUUUUUAAUAAUAUUUAUUCAGAUGACUAGUUCUGUGUUGUUCCUUAAAAUGGCUGUUUUAUUGUCUAUUUUAGCUAUAAACAAACUAUUUCUGUAUUACUGCUGUCUUAAAGCUAAUUUAAGUCCUCUACCUUUAUCUUAAUACUUCUUGAAAUAAAACAACUUUCUUAUAAUGUGAAUUAGUUGUAUUGCAUAACACUGUAUCUGGAUGAAAUACGUCCUUGACGUUGGUGUAUUUGUAUCCUGUUGCUCCUCUGUGAAGUAAUCAGACUGUUGGCAACAGCCGCUAGUUGUCCUAUGUGAUGUAAUUAACACUAAUUACAAUCAGGACAGUGCCAGGGCCACUCGAACAUUUAAUGGCCACAACAUUCAUUUGCAUGUGCAGCACUCAUCCCAUGGCUAACUUGGCCUAAUUAGAAUACACAAGUAACAAGAAUCAAUUAGCACACAUUAUCCUAAAUUAACGAAUGCAAAUGAAGCUCUCAUUAAGUUUAUGUUCUGAGCGAGGAGGCUGUGUAGACCAUAUGGACACAUGUUAGGGCGACACAGUUGACAACUUGUGCUGCGUGUCACGGCUGCUGGCCGAAAUGAACAAGUAGCUAGUUUAUGUGGCACCACAGCCGGUAGUCCUGAGGGAAUG
Long non-coding RNA from Clupea harengus (Atlantic herring), 2389 nucleotides. The record is from Ensembl. NCBI's taxonomy places the organism in Eukaryota, Metazoa, Chordata, Actinopteri, Clupeiformes, Clupeidae.